This 868-nucleotide ribosomal RNA is filed under the name uncultured bacterium. RNAcentral describes it as "partial 16S ribosomal RNA". It matches the Rfam family "Bacterial small subunit ribosomal RNA", at positions 29 to 894 of the family's 1533-position model. The record is from RNAcentral.
AUCAACGCUGGCGGCAUGCCUUACACAUGCAAGUCGAACGGCAGCACGGGAGCAAUCCUGGUGGCGAGUGGCGAACGGGUGANUAAUACAUCNGAACGUGCCCAAUCGUGGGGGAUAACGCAGCGAAAGCUGUGCUAAUACCGCAUGANAUCUACGGAUGAAAGCAGGGGACCGCAAGGCCUUGCGCGAAUGGAGCGGCCGAUGGCAGAUUANGUAGUUGGUGAGGUAAAGGCUCACCAAGCCUGCNAUCUGUAGCUGGNCUGAGAGGACNACCANCCACACUGGGACUGAGACACGGCCCANACUCCUACNGGAGGCAGCAGUGGGGAAUUUUGGACAAUGGGCGCAAGCCUGAUCCNNCCAUGCCNCGUGCNGGAUGAANGCCUUCNGGUUGUAAACUGCUUUUGUACGGAACGAAAAGGCUUUCUCUAAUAAAGGGGGCUCAUGACNGUACCGUAAGAAUAANCACCGGCUAACUACNUGCCANCANCCGCGGUAAUACNUANGGUGCNAGCGUUAAUCGGAAUUACUGGGCGUAAAGCGUGCGCANGCGGUGAUGUAAGACANUUGUGAAAUCCCCGGGCUCAACCUGGGAACUGCAUCUGUGACUGCNUCNCUGGAGUGCGGNANAGGGGGAUGGAAUUCCGCGUGUANCANUGAAAUGCGUANAUAUGCGGAGGAACACCGAUGGCGAAAGCNAUCCCCCUGGGCCUGCACUGACNCUCAUGCNCGAAAGCGUGGGGAGCAAACACGAUUAGAUACCCUGGNAGUCCACGCCCUAAACGAUNUCNACUGGUUGUUGGGUCUUCACUGACUCAGUAACGNAGCUAACGCGUGANUUGACCGCCUGGGGAGUACGGCCGCAGGU